GGGNUUUGGCAUGGGGGCAACCCUGNCCAGCAAUGCCGCGUGAGUGAUGAAGGCCUUCGGGUUGUAAAGCUCUUUCGACGGGGAAGAUGAUGACGGUACCCGUAGAAGAAGCCCCGGCUAACUUCGUGCCAGCAGCCGCGGUAAUACGAAGGGGGCCUAGCGUUGUUCGGAUUUACNUGGGCGUAAAGGGCGCGUAGGCGGUUUUGUAAGUCAGGCGUGAAAGCCCCGGGCUCAACCCGGGAAUUGCGCUUGAUACUGCGGGACUUGAAUCCAGGAGAGGAUGGCNGGAAUUCCCAGUGUAGAGGUGAAAUUCGUAGAUAUUGGGAAGAACACCGGUGGCGAAGGCGGCCAUCUGGCCUGGCAUUGACGCUGAGGCGCGAAAGCGUGGGGAGCAAACAGGAUUAGAUACCCUGGUAGUCCACGCUGUAAACGAUGAGUGCUAGACGUCGGGAAGCUUGCUUUUCGGUGUCGACGCUAACGCAUUAAGCACUCCGCCUGGGGAGUACGGCCGCAAGGUUAAAACUCAAAAAAAUUGACGGA
RNAcentral lists this ribosomal RNA (540 nucleotides) under uncultured bacterium. Its description in RNAcentral is "bacterial SSU rRNA". It matches the Rfam family "Bacterial small subunit ribosomal RNA", at positions 359 to 917 of the family's 1533-position model. The record is from RNAcentral.